Trachemys scripta elegans is the source of this 75-nucleotide non-coding RNA. Lineage: Eukaryota; Metazoa; Chordata; Testudines; Emydidae. The record is from the annotation of a RefSeq genome assembly.
AUUGGCGUGGCAGAGCUGGGCAAAAUGCAAAAGGCCUAAACCCUUUAUCCAGGGGUUCAACUCCCCUCCCCAAUU